GAUGAACGCUGGCGGCGUGCCUAAUACAUGCAAGUCGAGCGAACGGACGAGAAGCUUGCUUUUCUGAUGUUAGCGGCGGACGGGUGAGUAACACGUGGAUAACCUACCUAUAAGACUGGGAUAACUUCGGGAAACCGGAGCUAAUACCGGAUAAUAUUUUGAACCGCAUGGUUCAAAAGUGAAAGACGGUCUUGCUGUCACUUAUAGAUGGAUCCGCGCUGCAUUAGCUAGUUGGUAAGGUAACGGCUUACCAAGGCAACGAUGCAUAGCCGACCUGAGAGGGGGAUCGGCCACACUGGAACGGAGACACGGUCCAGACUCCUACGGGAGGCAGCAGUAGGGAAUCUUCCGCAAUGGGCGAAAGCCUGACGGAGCAACGCCGCGUGAGUGAUGAAGGUCUUCGGAUCGUAAAACUCUGUUAUUAGGGAAGAACAUAUGUGUAAGUAACUGUGCACAUCUUGACGGUACCUAAUCAGAAAGCCACGGCUAACUACGUG
RNAcentral lists this ribosomal RNA (497 nucleotides) under uncultured bacterium. Its description in RNAcentral is "partial 16S ribosomal RNA". It matches the Rfam family "Bacterial small subunit ribosomal RNA", at positions 28 to 507 of the family's 1533-position model. The record is from RNAcentral.